Molecule: ribosomal RNA, 433 nt
Filed under: uncultured bacterium
Lineage: Bacteria
Description: partial 16S ribosomal RNA
Rfam family: Bacterial small subunit ribosomal RNA
Source: RNAcentral
AGCGAACGCUGGCGGCAGGCCUAACGCAUGCAAGUCGAACGAACUCUUCGGAGUUAGUGGCGGACGGGUGAGUAACACGUGGGAACGUGCCUUUAGGUUCGGAAUAACUCAGGGAAACUUGUGCUAAUACCGAAUGUGCCCUUCGGGGGAAAGAUUUAUCGCCUUUAGAGCGGCCCGCGUCUGAUUAGCUAGUUGGUGAGGUAAAGGCUCACCAAGGCGACGAUCCGUAGCUGGUCUGAGAGGAUGAUCAGCCACAUUGGGACUGAGACACGGCCCAAACUCCUACGGGAGGCAGCAGUGGGGAAUCUUGCGCAAUGGGCGAAAGCCUGACGCAGCCAUGCCGCGUGAAUGAUGAAGGUCUUAGGAUUGUAAAAUUCUUUCACCGGGGACGAUAAUGACGGUACCCGGAGAAGAAGCCCCGGCUAACUUCGUG